This 72-nucleotide transfer RNA is filed under the name Camelus bactrianus (Bactrian camel). It matches the Rfam family "tRNA". Rfam says of the family: Transfer RNA (tRNA) molecules are approximately 80 nucleotides in length. The record is from Rfam by way of RNAcentral. RNAcentral also lists the same sequence under 2 other names. Lineage: Eukaryota; Metazoa; Chordata; Mammalia; Artiodactyla; Camelidae.
GAGGGUGUAGCUCAGUGGUAGAGCACAUGCCUAGCAUGCAUAAGGUCCUGGGUUCAAUCCCCAGUAUCUCCU